GAUGAAGAACGCAGCGAAACGCGAUAUGUAAUGUGAAUUGCAGAAUUCAGUGAAUCAUCGAAUCUUUGAACGCACAUUGCGCCCGCCAGUAUUCUGGCGGGCAUGCCUGUUCGAGCGUCAUUUCAACCCUCAAGCCCUCGGGUUUGGUGUUGGGGAUCGGCGAGCCUUUCUGGCAAGCCGGCCCCGAAAUCUAGUGGCGGUCUCGCUGCAGCCUCCAUUGCGUAGUAGUAAAACCCUCGCAACUGGAACGCGGCGCGGCCAAGCCGUUAAACCCCCAACUUCUGAAUGUUGACCUCGGAUCAGGUAGGAAUACCCGCUGAACUUAAGCAUAUCAAUAAGCGGAGGA
Molecule: unclassified non-coding RNA, 346 nt
Filed under: soil metagenome
Description: partial contains 5.8S ribosomal RNA, internal transcribed spacer 2, and large subunit ribosomal RNA
Rfam family: 5.8S ribosomal RNA (bases 1-120)
Source: RNAcentral